This 1554-nucleotide ribosomal RNA is filed under the name Salmonella enterica subsp. enterica. RNAcentral's name for it is "bacterial SSU rRNA". It matches the Rfam family "Bacterial small subunit ribosomal RNA". The record is from RNAcentral. RNAcentral also lists the same sequence under 2 other names. Lineage: Bacteria; Pseudomonadati; Pseudomonadota; Gammaproteobacteria; Enterobacterales; Enterobacteriaceae.
UUAAAUUGAAGAGUUUGAUCAUGGCUCAGAUUGAACGCUGGCGGCAGGCCUAACACAUGCAAGUCGAACGGUAACAGGAAGCAGCUUGCUGCUUCGCUGACGAGUGGCGGACGGGUGAGUAAUGUCUGGGAAACUGCCUGAUGGAGGGGGAUAACUACUGGAAACGGUGGCUAAUACCGCAUAACGUCGCAAGACCAAAGAGGGGGACCUUCGGGCCUCUUGCCAUCAGAUGUGCCCAGAUGGGAUUAGCUUGUUGGUGAGGUAACGGCUCACCAAGGCGACGAUCCCUAGCUGGUCUGAGAGGAUGACCAGCCACACUGGAACUGAGACACGGUCCAGACUCCUACGGGAGGCAGCAGUGGGGAAUAUUGCACAAUGGGCGCAAGCCUGAUGCAGCCAUGCCGCGUGUAUGAAGAAGGCCUUCGGGUUGUAAAGUACUUUCAGCGGGGAGGAAGGUGUUGCGGUUAAUAACCGCAGCAAUUGACGUUACCCGCAGAAGAAGCACCGGCUAACUCCGUGCCAGCAGCCGCGGUAAUACGGAGGGUGCAAGCGUUAAUCGGAAUUACUGGGCGUAAAGCGCACGCAGGCGGUCUGUCAAGUCGGAUGUGAAAUCCCCGGGCUCAACCUGGGAACUGCAUUCGAAACUGGCAGGCUUGAGUCUUGUAGAGGGGGGUAGAAUUCCAGGUGUAGCGGUGAAAUGCGUAGAGAUCUGGAGGAAUACCGGUGGCGAAGGCGGCCCCCUGGACAAAGACUGACGCUCAGGUGCGAAAGCGUGGGGAGCAAACAGGAUUAGAUACCCUGGUAGUCCACGCCGUAAACGAUGUCUACUUGGAGGUUGUGCCCUUGAGGCGUGGCUUCCGGAGCUAACGCGUUAAGUAGACCGCCUGGGGAGUACGGCCGCAAGGUUAAAACUCAAAUGAAUUGACGGGGGCCCGCACAAGCGGUGGAGCAUGUGGUUUAAUUCGAUGCAACGCGAAGAACCUUACCUGGUCUUGACAUCCACGGAAGUUUUCAGAGAUGAGAAUGUGCCUUCGGGAACCGUGAGACAGGUGCUGCAUGGCUGUCGUCAGCUCGUGUUGUGAAAUGUUGGGUUAAGUCCCGCAACGAGCGCAACCCUUAUCCUUUGUUGCCAGCGGUCCGGCCGGGAACUCAAAGGAGACUGCCAGUGAUAAACUGGAGGAAGGUGGGGAUGACGUCAAGUCAUCAUGGCCCUUACGACCAGGGCUACACACGUGCUACAAUGGCGCAUACAAAGAGAAGCGACCUCGCGAGAGCAAGCGGACCUCAUAAAGUGCGUCGUAGUCCGGAUUGGAGUCUGCAACUCGACUCCAUGAAGUCGGAAUCGCUAGUAAUCGUGGAUCAGAAUGCCACGGUGAAUACGUUCCCGGGCCUUGUACACACCGCCCGUCACACCAUGGGAGUGGGUUGCAAAAGAAGUAGGUAGCUUAACCUUCGGGAGGGCGCUUACCACUUUGUGAUUCAUGACUGGGGUGAAGUCGUAACAAGGUAACCGUAGGGGAACCUGCGGUUGGAUCACCUCCUUACCUUAAAGAA